CCUACGGGAGGCAGCAGUGGGGAAUAUUGGGCAAUGGGCGCAAGCCUGACCCAGCAACGCCGCGUGAAGGAAGAAGGCUUUCGGGUUGUAAACUUCUUUUAAGAGGGAAGAGAAGAAGACGGUACAUCUUGAAUAAGCCACGGAUAACUACGUGCCAGCAGCCGGGGUAAUACGGAGGUGGCAAGCGGUGUCCGGAUUUACUGGGUGUAAAGGGCGUGUAGCCGGGCUGACAAGUCAGAUGUGAAAUUCCGGGGCUCAACCCCGGACCUGCUUUUGAAACUGUUGGUCUUGAGUAUCGGAGAGGCAGGCGGAAUUCCUAGUGUAGCGGUGAAAUGCGUAGAUAUUAGGAGGAACACCAGUGGCGAAGGCGGCCUGCUGUACGACAACUGACGGUGAGGCGCGAAAGCGUGGGGAGCAAACAGGAUUAGAUACCCCAGUAGUC
Molecule: ribosomal RNA, 442 nt
Filed under: uncultured bacterium
Lineage: Bacteria
Description: partial 16S ribosomal RNA
Rfam family: Bacterial small subunit ribosomal RNA
Source: RNAcentral